Non-coding RNA from Acanthosepion pharaonis, 114 nucleotides. Lineage: Eukaryota; Metazoa; Mollusca; Cephalopoda; Sepiida; Sepiidae. The record is from the annotation of a GenBank genome assembly.
CUUGCGGACAUAUCACCUUGAAAUACCGAUUACCAUACAAUCACCGAAGUUACGCAACGUCGAGCCUGGUCAGUACCUAAAUGGGUGACCGCUUGGGAAUACCAUGUGCUGUUA